UGCAAGUAGAACGCUGAAGGAGGAGCUUGCUUCUCUGGAUGAGUUGCGAACGGGUGAGUAACGCGUAGGUAACCUGCCUGGUAGCGGGGGAUAACUAUUGGAAACGAUAGCUAAUACCGCAUAAGAGUAGAUGUUGCAUGACAUUUACUUAAAAGGUGCAAUUGCAUCACUACCAGAUGGACCUGCGUUGUAUUAGCUAGUUGGUGGGGUAACGGCUCACCAAGGCGACGAUACAUAGCCGACCUGAGAGGGUGAUCGGCCACACUGGGACUGAGACACGGCCCAGACUCCUACGGGAGGCAGCAGUAGGGAAUCUUCGGCAAUGGACGGAAGUCUGACCGAGCAACGCCGCGUGAGUGAAGAAGGUUUUCGGAUCGUAAAGCUCUGUUGUAAGAGAAGAACGAGUGUGAGAGUGGAAAGUUCACACUGUGACGGUAUCUUACCAGAAAGGGACGGCUAACUACGUGCCAGCAGCCGCGGUAAUACGUAGGUCCCGAGCGUUGUCCGGAUUUAUUGGGCGUAAAGCGAGCGCAGGCGGUUAGAUAAGUCUGAAGUUAAAGGCUGUGGCUUAACCAUAGUACGCUUUGGAAACUGUUUAACUUGAGUGCAAGAGGGGAGAGUGGAAUUCCAUGUGUAGCGGUGAAAUGCGAA
This 651-nucleotide ribosomal RNA is filed under the name uncultured bacterium. Its description in RNAcentral is "bacterial SSU rRNA". It matches the Rfam family "Bacterial small subunit ribosomal RNA", at positions 56 to 692 of the family's 1533-position model. The record is from RNAcentral.